This 257-nucleotide non-coding RNA is filed under the name Pongo abelii (Sumatran orangutan). Lineage: Eukaryota; Metazoa; Chordata; Mammalia; Primates; Hominidae. The record is from RNAcentral.
UCCCCUGACGGGAAGGCGACGUUGGGGGGCGGCUGGGUUUACCCUUCGAGAGCUCUGAUGGAUUUGUUGACUCCUCGGUGGGAGAAAGGCUCGGCCUACUGCAGGUGUUAACGCUAGGCCAGGCUGGAGCUGUGGACGUCAGUUUCUCAGCUCCCCGCUGUUCACUUCGAACGUGACGUGACCUCGAGGUCUGCUCUCCCCUUCCCUUUAGCUGACAAUGUGUCAGUGCUUGAAUAAGUCAGUCUGACAGGAACGGU